Micropterus dolomieu (smallmouth bass) is the source of this 189-nucleotide long non-coding RNA. RefSeq lists it as uncharacterized. Lineage: Eukaryota; Metazoa; Chordata; Actinopteri; Centrarchiformes; Centrarchidae. The record is from RefSeq and is a predicted model, not a curated record. The transcript has 3 exons.
UGUAUCUAGCACACGGGAGAGGGUUGUGGUUGGUGGAACCUCAGUACACCUUUCCCGGUGAGACUGACCACGGAGCAGCACCAGCUUCACAGGACAACAGCUGUUCUCUUGAAGAAAACAGAAGAACUGUCCUGUGUUGGGUGGAACCAAGGCCAGGGUUGUCAGGAGAUGUGAUGCUGACUGUUCAGC